CCUACGGGAGGCAGCAGUGGGGAAUCUUGCGCAAUGGGCGAAAGCCUGACGCAGCCAUGCCGCGUGAAUGAUGAAGGUCUUAGGAUUGUAAAAUUCUUUCACCGGGGACGAUAAUGACGGUACCCGGAGAAGAAGCCCCGGCUAACUUCGUGCCAGCAGCCGCGGUAAUACGAAGGGGGCUAGCGUUGCUCGGAAUUACUGGGCGUAAAGGGAGCGUAGGCGGAUAGUUUAGUCAGAGGUGAAAGCCCAGGGCUCAACCUUGGAAUUGCCUUUGAUACUGGCUAUCUUGAGUACGGAAGAGGUAUGUGGAACUCCGAGUGUAGAGGUGAAAUUCGUAGAUAUUCGGAAGAACACCAGUGGCGAAGGCGACAUACUGGUCCGUUACUGACGCUGAGGCUCGAAAGCGUGGGGAGCAAACAGGAUUAGAUACCCUGGUAGUCCACGCUGUAAACGAUGAGUGCUAGUUGUCGGCAUGCAUGCAUGUCGGUGACGCAGCUAACGCAUUAAGCACUCCGCCUGGGGAGUACGGUCGCAAGAUUAAAACUCAAAGGAAUUGACGG
Molecule: ribosomal RNA, 560 nt
Filed under: uncultured bacterium
Lineage: Bacteria
Description: bacterial SSU rRNA
Rfam family: Bacterial small subunit ribosomal RNA
Source: RNAcentral